This 3581-nucleotide long non-coding RNA is filed under the name Setaria viridis. RNAcentral's name for it is "long non-coding RNA (SVIR_LNC008599)". The record is from RNAcentral. Lineage: Eukaryota; Viridiplantae; Streptophyta; Magnoliopsida; Poales; Poaceae.
GUGCUGACGGUGUGGCGCAAGUCGCUGCUCUUCAACUGCGACGGCUUCACCGUCUUCGACGCCAAGGGCGACCUCGCCUUCCGCGUCGACUGCUAUGGCUCCAGCCGCCGCCGCGCCGAGGUCGUCCUCAUGGACGUCGCGGGGAAGCCGCUCCUCACCGUCCGCCGCAAGAGGCUCAGCCUCCUCGGGGAGCACUGGGUCAUCUACGACGGCGACGCCGCGGAACACAAAUCAUCCAAGCCGCUCCUCUCCGUCCGGCGCCACGUCAGCCUCCGCGCCUCCAGCAAGACGCUGGCGCACGUCACGCCCGUGGCCUCCAGCACCUCGGCGUUCGUGGUGGAGGGCUCCUACGGGCGGCGUGCCUGCGCCGUGCGCGACUCGCGCGGGGACGCGGUGGCGGAGGUCCGCCGGAAGGAGUCGGUGGGCGACGACGUGUUCCGGCUGGUGGCGAACCCGCGCCUGGGCGCGCCGCUGGCCGUGGGGCUCGUCAUCGCCCUCGACGAGAUGUUCGCCAGCGGCCGUGGCUCGCCGCGGUCACUGCUGCGCAGGACAUGGUCGGCGUAGCUAGCUAGAAACGCCGAAGCCAAGGGUAGGCCAGGGCCACUUCUCCACCUGACGCAAUAUGUACAGACCCGAUCGAUUGUUAGCGGCAUGCAGCAGAGUUUUAGCGUGCUGGCUGCUACUGCAGAGGGCCUAUAGCCUAUAGCUAGUGUGCGCAUCACAUCCAUUCAUCGGCACAAGUGUUGCUCUUUCCAAACAAUGUGCAAAAUUGAUGCAAUGAAACAUGCGAAUCGGUUAACUAGUUUUGUUUUUGCAAAAUAAACUGAAAAGUACUGAUAAGAAUGCAAUGAACUGAAGAAGGUGAACGAAGCAAGAAGAACACGUUGACACUGAACUGGGUAGAUGAAGUAGAAAUCUCUGGAUUGUUGAGUUGAUCGAGAUCUCCCAAAGGAUCGGAGGCUCUGGAGAAUUAAUUGGUUCUUCAUUUUCAGGCUACUGGGCUAUAGCAUCUUUUUUUCCUUUAUCUAAAAAUACGAGAGACGUACGACAGGUCACGGGUCAUGGUAACCCAUUCCAUUGACAGUAGUAACCCAUGGAGCUAGCUUGGAUUUGAUAUACAUGCCAAAUGCUGCUUGUAGCUACUUGUGCAUCAAGAGUCAACAGGUGCUUUGCAACCCCAACCCGUGAUAAAAAAAAAGAUUUAUUUAAUUAGCAUGGAAUUGGAUGCUCAGGGGUUCUUAAUUAUUUUCUAUUCAUGCAUCUGUGCUGACUUCGUUAAUCUCAAGGUCUACCGACUCAAUCUCACGGACCGGAUGAGUGUGUGUGUCUUUGGUGCAUAGUAUAUAGGAAUAGUAUCCCAUUGCUUUUAGUUAUCAUCGACAACAUGUGAUGAUAACAAGUCAGCACAGAGAGGGGAAAGAGUUUAAAUUACCUCGAUCAGUUCCGAAGAAUGUACCCAUAAUUUAUGGAUAUCUCCUCUGAAGAGUUCUAUACAUGGCUAUCCGGAUCAAUCAUGCAUGGAUCACAGAAGCAACCAAACACCAUUCUAGGAGGAUGUGCCUUCUCUUCUUGUACAUACGUGCAGUUCAUGCCCUCAUGCCCAUGUCUUGAGUUGUCAGAGAGACUUGCAAAAAUUUAGCACAAAAUAAACUCAGUGGAGACUACCCUUUUCAGUCUCUUCUGGAAAAAUGUCUCUUGAUGUUCAUCUGUUGCAAUUUUCAACUUCUAUGCUAAUUAUACUCGAGAUAUAGUGCAAACCAUGUCCUAUCACACCUUUUAUCACCAAAUAGACAGCUAUAAACAAUGUCACAUUGGAAGAGACCAAUAACCGUUACACACGGUUCAAACCUGAAAGUAUGAUUGACCAUAUAAUACAGAAGAAUAUACAUCGAGAUAUAGGCCUUGGUCCAUGCAUGGUUGUUAGAUCAACAGGCCGUAAAAUGGAACCAAGAAGAAAGGGGAAGAAAAUAAAGUGGAUUGAAGGAAGCUCCGAUCCAAUGCUAGCUCCAAGCCUCCAACGUUGAUGGUAAGCAACAUACAGAGUCAGAGAUAGAGAUAGAAGACAAAGAAAGGAUGACUACUCACAGAUCCAAUCCAAUCGAGUACGUUCCGCCAUUUCCAUGGAUCCAUACCAUACACGCGUCAGGAAACAAUCGAGAGAAAGCUGAAAGCAUCACCCAUGAUCAUUGACCCAUAUUAAAAGAUGCUACAGGGGAAUAUAAUCUGCGAAUGGUACCAAACAAAAAGGGAGUUGCACAUUUAAAUUUUAAAAGAGCUUGAAAUUGUUCAAAAAUAUCUCAUAAAAAGUUUGUCUGUGAUAGUAUUUUUGCUUCUUCUUCUUCUUUUUCAACAAAAAAAACUUAAAAUAUACCAAACUUCAAGGUGUACGUGCUGAGUUUGUCAAUCUCAAAAUAUACAGGCAUCCACAACGGUAUGAUGUGGUGCAUAAAUUGUUCAUAGCAAUACAUAAUUGUUUAGGAUAUCUCAUAAAAUAUUGCUUGUGAUUGUAUUUUUGCCUUUUUAUUUAAACUGAAAUAUGCCAAACUCCAAGGCGUAUGUCCAGAGUUCAUAAUGGUAGGAUGAAGUACAUAAAUUGUUCAUAGCAAAUAUAGGUUGCACUGUCCAUAUGUGUGUUUUGAAAAAACAAAUACAAGCAUUAUCCGUAAUUUUCUUUGGGAUAUGCACCGUUGAAAGCAAGUGUUUCUUGUGAGUUACAGCUUGCUGUUAAGUUAUUUAUGUGCACAUAACAUUUUGUGUGCGUGGAUACGUUGCAGAGCAUCACGACACGGUACUUGUAGAAGCAGCACGCGUGCGAUGAUGCUCUUUGCAGACCCUGUUGCUUUGGAGGCAACCAACAACGCACUUCAAUCUAGUCGGUAGCCAUUCCUCGUUAUCUCAAAGCUUCCCCUUUCUUUUGCCCACCAUUUGUGUGUCAAUCGAGAAUCACUUUGCCUGUUGAGUACUGUGAGGAUCAAUAGGCCGGCGUGUGGUGUGUGGUCGGCGAAGAACAAGUUCCUUGCCUUGGUCCAUCAUCCGUUUCAGAGCAGCGUGGGAUGGUCUCCCGAAACCACCCCACCACCGCCGCCGCCGCCCCCGCCCGCCAUCUCGUCUCGUCCGCAGCCGCCCACGCACCCACCAAGACAGUCCCGGCCCCGUAUAAAUACCCCACAACUCCUCUUCCACCUCCGCCAACUCCGAUCCGUUACCUCCCCUCUCCCCAAGCUCAACAACCAGAGCACACAGGCCUUUCUCCUCUAUCUAUCGCACAAGAGGCGCGCACGAAAAUGGCCAAGGUGCACCCCAACGCCGCCGAUACAGAGCCGCCCUCGCCGGCGCCAGAGGUGGAGGAGCCGCCCACGGUGCUGACGGUCUGGCGCAAGUCGCUGCUCUUCAACUGCGACGGCUUCACCGUCUUCGACGCCAAGGGUGACCUCGCCUUCCGCGUCGACUGCUACGGCUCCGGCCGGCGCCGCGCCGAGGUCGUGCUCAUGGACGUCGCGGGCAAGCCGCUCCUCACCGUCCGCCGCAAGAGGCUCAGCUUCCUAGCGGAGCACUGGGUCAUCUACGACGGCGACGCCGCG